GGGGGUGUAGCUCAUAUGGUAGAGCGCUCGCUUUGCAUGCGAGAAGGCACGGGUUCGAUUCCUCGCACCUCCA
This 73-nucleotide transfer RNA is filed under the name Ipomoea nil (Japanese morning glory). It matches the Rfam family "tRNA". Rfam says of the family: Transfer RNA (tRNA) molecules are approximately 80 nucleotides in length. Their secondary structure includes four short double-helical elements and three loops (D, anti-codon, and T loops). The record is from Rfam by way of RNAcentral. Lineage: Eukaryota; Viridiplantae; Streptophyta; Magnoliopsida; Solanales; Convolvulaceae.